Cyprinus carpio (common carp) is the source of this 1610-nucleotide long non-coding RNA. The record is from Ensembl. NCBI's taxonomy places the organism in Eukaryota, Metazoa, Chordata, Actinopteri, Cypriniformes, Cyprinidae.
GGUUUUUGUACCAGCUGCACGAUAAAACUUUUACUGCUGUAUAUGCUGCAAGCUGUCAAUGAGCAGAAAAACAACAUUUGAGAUAGUUGAAAAUGAUACAAAGACCAUGGAGAUAUAUCUGGGAUAAAUGAACUUUUAAAAGUAUUCUGUGUAGUCUGUCAUUAAAUAUGAGCUCAUAAAAAUGGUAUUUGUAUAACCAUAAAAAUUGCUGAAGCAUGGUUUCUUGGAUUCAUAUGUGGUUGACAUUAACACUCAUUGCUAACUCUGUAGGCCUAUGUGAAAACAGUAUUGCACCUGUAGAACCCUUUUCGGGACAGUUGAGUCAUUUGCCUGCAUGGACAUGAUUAGUUGAGCUCAUAUUGGGCUGGGAGUAAAGUGGUUUCAUAUGAGAGACGUGUGCAUGUUUGAAGAGUUCUGCGAGUAGUAUGUGUCUUUAAUGCUGUGAAUCUUUCAGUGGAUGAUUUUCAAAGACAAUGAAAAGAGCUUCAUUAAGACCUCAACAACUCAAAGAGAAGCUCCUUCAGGCCAUCGAUGCUCAAAGUAACAUUUUUAGAGGAUUGAGUAUGCAAGCAUAUCACAUUUGCAUUUGCAAACAACUGUUGACUGGGAUCUGAAAGAGUCACUGCUGGUCUGGGGACUGCUGCAGGUCCACAUGUGAGAGCAGAUUCAAAUACAUGAGGCCCAUCUACUUUCAUGAGUAUGACCAGCCUUAGAAAAAAAGACAGGAACAGACUCACUAAGCAUUACCCAUUAUAGGAUUUCUUUUUUCUUCUUUUUUUCAUUGCAUAGAGAAUAUUAUGAAAGCAUGGAAGUGACUUUAGCUUAACGUCUACCUGUCAGCAGAUAGAGAACACAUUGGCUGUAUUGGAUGUGAUAUGCUGCCUGGAAAGUUACCCCAUGACUAAAGAGGCUCUAGUGGAAACCAGGCUUGGAAAGUUGAUCAAUGAUGUGAGAAAAAGGACCACAGAUGAAGAUCUUGUUAAACGUUUAAAAAAUCUGAUACGACAUUGGCAGAGGCUGGUUGGAGGAAAUGAAGUCACCACAGAAGAGCUCUCAAGCUUUGCAGUCAAUUCGACUUCUGCUGAAUGUAUUCCUGGAUCAACACAAACCCUUACUGAAAAUUACCACAGUAACAUGAGUGAGAGGGUUGAAAUGUCUCAGGGUUCGGUACCAGAUAAAACCAAUUAAUAUCCAAACAAUUUUAGAAAGAGUAAAAUACCUGUCCAUGCGAUCAAACCAUAUUCAUCGUCCAUCGAGCUUUUACAACAGUCCACAAGCUGGAGAACAUCUCUGUCCAAUUAUCAUUCCCAAAAUGACCAUUAUACCAUUAUCAAAGACGAGUGCAGGUCUGAAAGAAACACCACCCCUGCCAGUCACAGCGACGAAAAGCACUUUUUGGCAGCCACGGAACCAGCACAAUCCACUUCCAUUACUUCUCAUCUUCCAAAUUCAUUUUUCCAAGAUACACAUGUAAAGAUGCAACAUCCUUCAGACCUCCUCAACAUACUCAAACCUGCUACACUAAAUGGUAACCUCGAUGAGGUCUCCAGCACAGUGACAGACACAAACAUAAGGCGUUUUGAGAAUAAGAUGAGGAAGAAACAGUAUAA